This is a long non-coding RNA of Rhineura floridana, 266 nucleotides long. RefSeq lists it as uncharacterized. The transcript is spliced from 2 exons. Lineage: Eukaryota; Metazoa; Chordata; Lepidosauria; Squamata; Rhineuridae. The record is from RefSeq and is a predicted model, not a curated record.
GAGUAAAUCCAUGGGCAUGGGAGGGAAACUGAAAAUUCAUCAUCCAAAGUUCUUAUAUUUUAGGGCUAUUUGGAACACAGGCCAAAAACUGUGCUUCCCAGACAUAGGAUGUCUAAGGCCAGCCACCACUGGCUCUGUAUGAUCAGAGCUGGUCUUGAGUCAUAGCACUAAAUCAUCUUCUUCCCUGGAAAAAAGUGCUGAGAUAACAAAUGACUUCAAGGGUUCCAAACUCCAUCACCACCAAAUAAAAAACUUGAUAACUUGGA